RNAcentral lists this ribosomal RNA (491 nucleotides) under uncultured bacterium. Its description in RNAcentral is "partial 16S ribosomal RNA". It matches the Rfam family "Bacterial small subunit ribosomal RNA", at positions 28 to 507 of the family's 1533-position model. The record is from RNAcentral.
GAUGAACGCUAGCUACAGGCUUAACACAUGCAAGUCGCGGGGCAGCAUGGGGGUUGCUUGCAACCCCUGAUGGCGACCGGCGCACGGGUGAGUAACGCGUAUCCAACCUGCCCUUCACCACGGGAUAACCCGGCGAAAUUCGGACUAAUACCGUAUGUUGUCCAUUGACGGCAUCCGAUCUGGACGAAAGGCUUGUCGGUGAGAGGAUGGGGAUGCGUCCGAUUAGCUUGACGGCGGGGUAACGGCCCACCGUGGCUACGAUCGGUAGGGGUUCUGAGAGGAAGGUCCCCCACGCUGGAACUGAGACACGGUCCAGACUCCUACGGGAGGCAGCAGUGAGGAAUAUUGGUCAAUGGGCGUAAGCCUGAACCAGCCAAGUAGCGUGCAGGAUGACGGCCGUAUGGGUUGUAAACUGCUUUUAUGCGGGGAUAAAGUGGCCCACGUGUGGGCUUUUGCAGGUACCGCAUGAAUAAGGACCGGCUAAUUCCGUG